This is a regulatory RNA element of Cetobacterium somerae ATCC BAA-474, 76 nucleotides long. It matches the Rfam family "c-di-GMP-I riboswitch aptamer". Rfam says of the family: GEMM was predicted in a large-scale screen for bacterial structured RNA regulatory elements. Lineage: Bacteria; Fusobacteriati; Fusobacteriota; Fusobacteriia; Fusobacteriales; Fusobacteriaceae. The record is from Rfam.
UUAAAAUAAAGGCAAAGCAUGGGAAACUGUGUGACGCAAAGCUAUAGGGCCUUUAAAAUGGCAGCCAGUUGCAGUA